UCCCGCGAGGUUUACCGCUUAGGACUCCUGGCUCUUACCCAGGCGGCCCGGGUUCGACUCCCGGCGCGGGAG
Molecule: transfer RNA, 72 nt
Filed under: Fasciola gigantica
Lineage: Eukaryota; Metazoa; Platyhelminthes; Trematoda; Plagiorchiida; Fasciolidae
Rfam family: tRNA
About the family: Transfer RNA (tRNA) molecules are approximately 80 nucleotides in length. Their secondary structure includes four short double-helical elements and three loops (D, anti-codon, and T loops).
Source: Rfam by way of RNAcentral